Rhea pennata is the source of this 417-nucleotide long non-coding RNA. RefSeq lists it as uncharacterized. The record is from RefSeq and is a predicted model, not a curated record. NCBI's taxonomy places the organism in Eukaryota, Metazoa, Chordata, Aves, Rheiformes, Rheidae. The transcript has 3 exons.
GUUCUCCAAGGGGAACCGCAGUCCUGGGGACGGGAGUGUCCCGGCUGCCCCGGGGAGGGCUGAGGGCCAGCUGUUCCCCAAGGGAGGAAUAAAACCAAUGGCAAAAGGAGGAUUUACUGGUGAUCUUGUGCUGUUCUGCUCCCAGGGACCUGGAAACUCGGCCUUUGCUGCGCUGGUCGCCCUGCGACUGAAUCAUCCAUAAGUAUCAAUAUAAACAAAGCUGAGCCAGAAGUGCCUAAAGAGGAGCCAGAAGAAGUAAGACAGGUGCAAGCAGCAUGUGUGGAAACCCCGGCGGCGGGCAGUUCCUCACCGCUCUGCGUGGAUGCCCAGGUGCAAACUUCCAGUCCCGAACUGCAGAAGACACCUCCUGUGCUCUCACUAGCAGUUGCUCAGGUGCAAACCUCAGCACUCACAGUC